This is a long non-coding RNA of Tympanuchus pallidicinctus (lesser prairie-chicken), 7796 nucleotides long. RefSeq lists it as uncharacterized. Lineage: Eukaryota; Metazoa; Chordata; Aves; Galliformes; Phasianidae. The transcript has 2 exons. The record is from RefSeq and is a predicted model, not a curated record.
UGCUGGACCGUUUUUCCCGUUGCCCGGGGCGGAGGACCUGUUGCCGCCGCCUGAGGGGGCAGCGCGGCGGGGAGAGGGGGAGCUCGCGUUCCCGCUUCUCGCCCGGAAACUCAGCGCUGCCUCCAGGCGGACAGCCGUCGGUACGUUGAGCCCCGAGCUGGGCUUGCAGCGCAGCGAGUCCGUCUGACGGCCGUCGUGUGCUGUUAGCGACUGUCAGUGCCCCGGCAGAAGGGAUACUUGUCAGUGUGAAGACGCACACGCAAGAUUAGAUUGAAACUUUGCCUCAUAGGCCCCCCCUUUUUUUUUUUUUUUUUUUUUUGCCAAAAUAAUAAUUAUAAACAUUAGGACGCGUGAGGGAGGAUGGAUUACAAAUGAGCCCUUCCAUAGAUGGUGAUGCUGAAGCACGAAGAGACUGAGCGCUGUGGCCAAGGGAGAGAGCGCUGCCCACAGCUCCACAGAAUCACAGAAUGGCCUGGGUGGAAGGGACCUCAAGGAUCAUGAAGCUCCAACCCCUGCCACAUGCAGGGCCACCAACCUCCCCAUUUAACACUAGACCAGGCUGCUCAGGGCCCCAUCCAACCUGGCCUUGAACGCCUCCAGGGAUGGAGCAUCCACAGCCUCUCUGGGCAGCUGUUCCAGCACCUCACCACUCUCUCUGUAAAGAACUUCCCCCUCACAUCCAACCUAAAUCUCCCCUCCCUUAACUUAAAACCAUUUCCCCUUGUCCUGCAGUUACCUACCCUUUCAAAGAGUUGAUUCCCCUCCUGUUUUAUGUUCCCUUUAGCUACUGAAAGGCUGCAAUGAGGUCACCCUGCAGCCCUCUUUUCUCCAGGCUGUACAAGCCCAGCUCCCUCAGCCAGUCUUCGUAGGGGAGGUGCUCCAGUCCUCUGAUCAUCCCAAAAUGGCUUUGAACAUCUCCAGGGAUGGGGCAUCCAAGGCUGCACCUGGCCUUAGCUUUCACAGUUUAUCAUCCCAUACACACUUCUUCUUUUGUGAUUUAUGUGUAUUUUUUCCCCACAUCAAACUGCUCUGUUUGAUGCUCACUGUUUGACUUGCUUUGGAAUUAAAUAAUGAAGGUACCAUAUGAUAGAACAGUUGAAAGAAGGAAAAAAUACAACCGUUCCAACAGCUUAUGUUAUAAAAAUGUUAAUUACCAGAACAUCUGGUAUUAAAUGAAACAGCUUCUUCAACUGAAAACAGGCAAGCAGCUUUUACAGUGUAUAUACACACUACUGUUUGUAGUCACUCGUGUUGUUUAUGAUUACCAUAAAAAGUAAUGAAUAUUAAAAAUAUUCUUUUUUAUUAUGAUGAACAGAAAUUAACCAGUACUUUACUGAGGAUUCAUAUUAAGGAUUUGCAUAUGUUUUGCAUCUCUUGCAGGGAUAUGGAAACUACCACACCAAGUAGACAGUGGACUUUCUAAUUUCCUUAUAUAAAUUCAUUAACUUACUAACUUCCACCACUUCCUGCAAGAUAGCUGAGUUCAGUUGCACUCAUAUUACAAAUGAGGAAGUGAAAUACCAAGAAAGGAAGUGGUUUAACUGUAUUAUGCAGGAAUUCUGCUUGUGAAACCGAAUCCUAGCAUCUUUAGUCACCACAGUAAGCAGUCAUCCACAGGGACCUUGAAGGCUGUAGAGGGAUGACAGAGAUCUCAUGGAGUUCAACAAGUCAAAGUGCUGAGUCCUGUAUCCAGACAGGAGCAAUUCCUGGAACCACAGCAUGCUGGGACCACCCAGCUGGAAAGCAGCUCUGCAAAGAAGGACCUGAGGUUGUGGCAGAGACCCCCCUCUUCUCUGUGCUGCUAAGGUUGCAUCUGGAGAACUACUGGGACUCCAGUACAAGAGAGACCUUAACAUACUGGAAACAGUGCAAUGGAGGGUCACCAAGAUGGCUGGAGACUGGAGUGAGGAAAGGCUGAGAGGGCUGAAGCUCUUCAGCCUGGAGGAGACUCAGGGAUCUCAUCAAUGUAAGUAAAUACCUGAAGGGAGGAUGCCAAGAGCAUGGAGCCAGGCUCCUUUCAGGGGUGCCAAGUGCCAGAACAAGCAGCAAUGGGCACAGACUGCAAUACAGUUUAGUUCAGAGUUCCCUUUGAAGAGCACACAGCACUUCUGUGCUGUGUGGGUGCUGGAGCACUGGCACAGGCUGCCCAGAGGCUGUGGAUUCUCCUCCUUGGAGGCCUCCUAAAGCUGCCUGGCUGUAGGCCUGAGCACCCUGCUCUGGUGGCCCUGAUGAUGAGGGGAUGGGCCAAAGGGACACAGAGGGCCCUGCCAGCCUCAGCCUUCCAGUGAGUCUACAGGCUUAAGUUUUGCAACUAGAAUUUUUGUUGUGACGUUAACCUUUUUUAUUUCCUUACUGGUUAUCUACACCAAACAUUCUAAAGUUUCACAGAAAUCACUGGUUCUGGUAUUAUGCUGCAUGUUAUAAGAUAAAAUUCUUUAACUAAGUAGUAUAAAUAGUAUGCUUACUGUAUUACUUACACAACAAAAUAUAUUCCUAAUUUCUUAUGUUUCAGAAGAGUUCAACCACUAAGUUUAGUUGCCCUAUAUAUGUGUUUUGAAAAAAAAUUGUUAUUUGCAAGCCUAUUUGCAUUAAUUUUGUCCUCUUUCUAUUCCUGGUCUUUCAAGGGAAGUGAGAAGCUUUCUGUCUCUGUCAGUUCAAGGAGGUGGGCCUUCUGCUUACUCAGGAGUUUAACAGAACAGCAUUUCCCCCAAGGAAGUAACAGAAAAGAUGCAGUUUUAUUUUAGCUGGUUUUACUUUUAUGUUCUCUUUUGCCUCAAGGUUGUGAAAUGAAAUAAAAUAAAAUAGUCCAUAAAUGAGGACUUCUUGAAUAUUCAGUAGAGUCUAAUAAGUAUACAUUUAGAUACAAAAUACAUGAUUUUAAAGUGUUUUGUGAAAAUGUAUCUCCUGAGCUCUGGUAAGGCUGCAUCUUGAGUACUGUGUUCAGUUUUGGGCCCCUCUCUACGAGAAAGACAUUGAGGCCCUGGAACAUGUUCAGAGAAGGGAAAUGAAGUUGUGGGGGGUCUGGAGCACAGAUCUUAUGGGGAGCAGCAGAGGGAGCUUGGAUUCUUCAGCCUAGAGAAGAGGAGGCUCAGGGAAGACCUCAUUGUUCUCUACAAUUACCUGAAAGUAAAGUGAAAAUCUUCUUCUCCUGGGUAACAGUGAUAGUUCGAGAGGGCAUGGCCUCAAGGUGCAUCAGGGUUCAGGUUUGAUAUUACAAAAAGCUUCUUAUCUGGGAGAGCAGCCAGGCAAUGGAACGGGAUGCCCAGGGAGGUGGUUGAGUCACUGUCCCUGGACUUGUACAAGAAUCGUUUAGGUGUGGUACUAAGAAACAUGGUUUAGUGGGCAACAUUUGUGGUGGAUGGUUGGGCUAGAUAAUCUUAGAUAAUCUUUUCCAGCCUUAAUGAUUCCAUGAUUUACACAACCCUGUAAUGUACUCUGCAUUUUCUAUGUGCCAUUCUUGUACAAAUUAAUUACAUUUGCUGAUUUUAUUUUGCAGGAAGGUUGAAGAUGGAGGACUUUAUGAUAACUCACACAGAAUGGUCUUGGAUAUUUUUGUAAAAAAAAAACAAAACAAAACCACCACCACUCCAACUUUGGAAUUUAAUAGAAUACAUUCUUUGUUCAAAUCCUUCCUCUUUCUUAUGGAGAGCUCGCACUGGUUAACAUUUAGAGUUUUAUUUAGUUGCCAUACAUACUUGUCUGGUGCCAUUUGAGACGCCCAAGAGUAUUCUUGCUUGUUGCCAACUGCUGCAGGAAAAUGGUACAAGCUUACAUAGGUUCCCUGCCACUGUACAGAGCUGAUGUAUCUCUGAAUAACAGCCUUGUUAGGUUGCAUUAAGAAUCUACAUUCUGUCAAAUAGGCCUUUCUUGAAUAUCAUUUACAUUGAUGAACCUGGUCACACAGGGACUUCUUCACAUUUUAUCUGGAACUGAUUUCCUCAAAACAACCCGUAUUUGUAGGAGUUUGUCGUGCAAUUCCAUGCUGUCCAAGUACAAAAGGACAAACUAAUUCUGACAUUAUUCAUCAUUCAUUUUAUUUUGGAAAUCUGUGAACUGCGGUGAAAAUGUAGCAUCUCUUUAGAUGCCAUGUAUUUAUUUUAGCAAUGGUGAGAAACUUUCUAUAAUUUCCUUAGUGCAAAUAGAAUCUGACUCAUCAUCUUCAGAGACGAGUUCAAAGUUUAGGUUUACUUCCUGGUUUUUCUUACACUUAAGACCACGACUGAGCACUGUACCACUUGACUUACUUUGUUCUUUCUUUUGUGGAUUUUUUUCUAUCUUCACCUUUCUUCCAGAAGACCAACUGUUCUGUUGUGUUUGCUCCUAAAGCUGCGUGGCAAAUCAACAUUACUCUUUCUGGUGGAAGUUACUGGGAGAAGCAGCUGAAUUCUUUUUGUAAAAAGUUAAUUUAAUAAACAUGGAAGCAUUAAAGCCCAAGUGCUAAAAUUAAAUUUGCAUAGUAUGUGAGGCCUCUCAGUGCACAAAGACCAGAAAAUUAAUAGCAGCAGUAGCUGCUUACAUGGAAAGAAAGCCAUGAGUGGAAAAAGAGCAAACUGAAAGUUCUUUGUCCUCCUUUCCAGCCCUCAGUUCUCAGAAUUUUGUUUGGCAAGGAAAGCAGGGAAUCUGUCUGACUUUCAAAUAAUUACUGACGUAUUACUCCAUUGCAGGCAAGUAGCAAAGAGCAGCUGCUUAUUGCAGCCGGAGCCAAACUCUCCCUUUGCCAUCCCCCAUUUCUUCCUGCCUUCCCUGGAGAAAGCUAUCUCGCUGUUAAGUAAACUGGGAUUGGUUUGCAAGAUAUAUUAAGAUUACAUUAGAAAAAUAUUUACUUACGCAUAAAGGAGCCUUUUAAAAAAUCUUCAUUGCUUAGGAAACAAUGUGAUUUAGCGGGUAAAAAAUAAAAACAGAUUUGUUACUCUACAGUUGUAAAGCUGCCAUCUUUUACGAGCCUGGGAAGAGUGACCUUAUUCACUGUGAGGUUUUGCCAGUUCUGCCUCCACGCAACUAAUUCUUUUCCUGAUUCAUGGUGGGACUUAUCUGGGCCAUGUUUAAAGAGGUCUGCUGCCUCACAGUAAAGGAGUUGAUUAUGAUUUUUAGCUUAUUGACAAACUGUCCUUCACUUUUCAACAUUCCUUACAAGGUUUAACUGAAAAUUGAGAUUUCUUGAGAGAGAAAAUACCUGUUAAAAACAAACAAACAAACAAAAAAUCCAACAAGAACCACCACAACAACCUGUAAGAAAUCAAUAUCAAACCAUUUCAAUUUGUACUGAGCCUAAACCACUGCAACAAAAAGGUCCUUCAGCGUUCUUGUCUUCCAAUAAAUAAAUAAAUAAACAAAUAAAUAAUCUGCAACGUUACCUGAACACUGAAAGUUCAUUUCUCCAUUUAUGUCCACACUGGAGAUGAAUAUAAAACUGAAUUCCCGAGCACUUUUAUUCAUGAACAAACUUCCAUCAGAAAAAAAAAAAGAAAAGAAGUGUGUGUGUGUGUGUGUGGAGGAGUGUUGCUCAAGUUUCUCUUUAUGCAAUUCACAUGAUGACUCCCUGAAUUCCUCCUGAUACUUCAUUAGAGAUGCUGUCUUCCUCCCUUGUUAAGCACUAGUGAGUGGUUGCUGUGUUCCACCCUGCUGUGCAGCAGUGGAGGAAGCAACCUGUCCGUGUUACUUUGUGCUCUGUGCUACGUUGAGAUGUAAGGAAUGCUAAUGACUGUGUGAAAAUUUCAUCUCUGGCAUCCAGAAGGAUGCUGCGGGGUGCUGCGUAUUGCAGCUCUUGGAAUUCAUGGCUGCAGCUGUGGAGUCUAUGCAACUGAGCAUGAUAAAUCACACCAAACAAAUCUUUCUACAUUAAGGAUACCUUUACAGUUACUGUGUACUAUUCUGUUUUGCAUUUGGAUGGAAGCUUGAAGAAAUAUAUUAGGUAACAUUUAUUUAAAUGUUAAAUGAAAUAACAAAUAAAUCCAUGACAUGACUGCAUUUACAUGGAUCUGGAAUUGAUAAAUCAUCUGAUUUUCCAAUUCCAUAAUCUGGAAAUCUUUCCAUGGGGAAAGAAAAAAAUGUAUUGAAGUGAAAAAUGUCAUAUCCUCUUACAAAGAGAACAAACAAAAGUCUUGAGAAAGAUGAAGAGUAUGACACGUCUAUUUCUAAGCCUGGCAAGUAUUCUUGAAACCCUCAACCUGAGAUUAGCUGCUAUGUUUGUUUAAGUCUACUCAUUUCAGAAAGAACGUGCUUCUGUCCUAACUGUGGUUUAAUCAAGCAAUCAUAGCUCCAUCUUUUUGUUAAAGGAGAUGGUGUCUGGUGUUUUUCUUCAUGAAACAGAGCAAAAAGACAGGCAGUUUACAUUACGAGGUUUCUCUAGCUAGCAUAGUAUGAAAGGAGCCAUCUUGUGGUUGUCUAUUCUGCAAACAAAAUGUUGCUACAGUAUUGCCUUGAAAAGCUGAAGUUACCUCUAUAGUUCUAUGCUAUGUAUAUAGAACUACCUCUAUAGUUCUGUGACAAUUUUUCUUCUACUUGUUUAGAAAUGUUGCAUUUUGAGUAAAACUGUUUUCACUCAAUCUUUUUCGUUCCAUCAGAUUUCUUAUUCUACCAGGCAUUCAAUCUAGCCAAACAGAAUUAAACUUUGUAUGUUCAUUCUACGUCCUCUAUUAGUCAACCCACACCAAUAUUUACCAGUCCUCUGAGUUCUUACACCCUUUAAUUUGCACUCUAAGUUCUGCUUUAAACUGCAGUCAAUCAUAUCUCUGAAAUACGACUCUCUUAGUGGAACCGAUUUCUAAGUAAGUGACAAAUUAUUAUUUUUUUAAUAAUAUCCAUUAAGAUGUAAUCUUUGGGAACUAUGUGUAUUCCAGAUGCAAAACUGAAACAAACCAACCUUCAGAUUUGACCUGGGGAGACAACAUUUGAUAAUCAGUCUGAUAAAUGAUAAAUCAGUCUGAUUUCUUGGCCUCUUUGAUAAUACACAAAGACACUUGGAUUAAUCUUCACAAUCCUCAGCAGAUAUAGCACCCAAACCUGCCCCCAGUGCUGGAGGCGAGGCCACCCACCGCAGAGCACAGUGAGACAACCCCUCCCCUGGCCCAGUGGCAGUGCUGGGCCUGCUGCCUGCCAGGGCACUGUGGACCCUUUGCCUGCCAGGGCACACUGCUGGCUCACAUUCAACUUGCCACAGCCCCCAUAUCACUUUGCAUGGGGCUGCUCUCCAUCUUCUUGUCUUUAGUCUGUGCUUAGAUCCAGUGUUGCCUCAUCCCAAAUGCAGAAUCCAGCACUUGCUGUUGUGGAACUUCAUGCAGUUGGUGAUUGCCCAGCUCUCCAAUGUACCAAGAUCUCUCUGCAGAGCUUCUCUGCCCUCAAGGGAGUCAACAGCUCCUUCUUGAUGCCAUCUGCAAGCUUAUUUAGUAUACCUUCAAGAAACAUAUCCAAGUAAUUAAUAGAAACAUUGAAUAGAAUUGGACUUAAAAUGGAGCUGUGUGAAGCCCAUCACUGACAGACGUAGCCCAACCCAUCAGCCAACUAUUCACCUGUCAUGUUAUGUUUUUGCCUAGCUGUAUGCUGGACAGGAUACUGUGAGAAACAGUAUUGAAAGCUUUGCUGUCAUCCAAAAAUAUUGCACAUCCUUGCAUCCUUGGUUGAUUGGAUCUCCUUUAAUAAAGUGAGCCUCUGUGUAUUUCUGAAGACAAUCACAGCAGUGAUUGAGGUUCACAGACUGACCUCUGUCUCUGCAUAUUUGAGUGGGACUUGAAAAUUUAUUUUUUAUGCAUUUCUAUGAUAAUAUGGAUUUACUUCAGUAAAACUGAAGUCAGACUUAA